RNAcentral lists this ribosomal RNA (497 nucleotides) under uncultured bacterium. RNAcentral describes it as "partial 16S ribosomal RNA". It matches the Rfam family "Bacterial small subunit ribosomal RNA", at positions 28 to 507 of the family's 1533-position model. The record is from RNAcentral.
GAUGAACGCUGGCGGCGUGCCUAAUACAUGCAAGUCGAGCGAACGGACGAGAAGCUUGCUUCUCUGAUGUUAGCGGCGGACGGGUGAGUAACACGUGGAUAACCUACCUAUAAGACUGGGAUAACUUCGGGAAACCGUAGCUAAUACCGGAUAAUAUUUUGAACCGCAUGGUUCACACGCGCCCCCCGGCCUUCCUGCCCCUCCUCGCUGCAUCCCCGCUGCAUUCGCUGGGUGGUAAGGCAACGGCGUACCAAGGCAACGAUGCAUAGCCGACCUGAGAGGGGGAUCGGCGACACGGGAACUGAGACGCGGUCCAGGCUCCUACGGGAGGCAGCAGUAGGGAAUCUGCCGCAAUGGGCGGAAGCCUGACGGAGCAGCGCCGCGUGAGUGAUGAAGGUCUUCGGAUCGUAAAACUCUGUUAUUAGGGAAGAACAUAUGUGUAAGUAACUGUGCAGAUCGUGACGGUACCUAGUCAGAAAGCCACGGCUAACUACGUG